UAGUCCACGCCCUAAACGAUGUACACUAGGUGGCGGAAGUUUUGACGCUAUCGCCGCCGAAGCCAAAGUGUUAAGUGUACCGCCUGGGGAGUACGGUCGCAAGGCUAAAACUCAAAGGAAUUGACGGGGGCUCACACAAGCGGUGGAGCAUGUGGCUUAAUUCGAAGCAACGCGAAGAACCUUAUCCAGGGUUUGACAUUCACGAAUUAGCUUCCUGAAAGGGAAGUGACGCGCUUGCGUGGAACGUGAACAGGUGCUGCGUGGCUGUCGUCAGCUCGUGCUGUGAAGUGUCGGGUUAAGUCCCUUAACGAGCGAAACCCCUAUCACUAGUUGCCAUCAGGUUAUGCUGGGGACUCUAGUGAGACUGCCGGCGUCAAGCCGGAGGAAGGUGGGGAUGACGUCAAGUCCUCAUGGCCUUUAUGCCCUGGGCUGCACACGUGCUACAAUGCCAACGACAGAGCGAAGCGAUACGGCAACGUGGAGCAAAUCGCAGAAACGUUGGCUC
Molecule: ribosomal RNA, 505 nt
Filed under: uncultured bacterium
Lineage: Bacteria
Description: bacterial SSU rRNA
Rfam family: Bacterial small subunit ribosomal RNA
Source: RNAcentral